This 2535-nucleotide ribosomal RNA is filed under the name human gut metagenome. RNAcentral's name for it is "bacterial LSU rRNA". It matches the Rfam family "Bacterial large subunit ribosomal RNA", at positions 15 to 2499 of the family's 2925-position model. The record is from RNAcentral.
CGGGCGCACGGCGGAUGCCUUGGCACAGGGAGCCGAUGAAGGACGCGGCAAGCUGCGAUAAUCCCCGGCGAGGAGCACACAUCCUUCGACCCGGGGGUCUCCGAAUGGGCGAACCCAUCCGUAGAGGUACGGAUAUCCCGGCCCUGAACGCAUAGGGGCCGGGAGGACAACCCGGGGAACUGAAACAUCUAAGUACCCGGAGGAGAGGAAAUCAAUCUCGAGACUCCCCGAGUAGCGGCGAGCGAAAGGGGACCGAUGGCCAAACCGUCGAGCGGGCAUACCCGGCAGGGGUUCCGCCGGCGGGGUUGCAGGGCCGCGCAUCCGGGGGCUGCCGCCCCCGGGCGCAGGUCCGGCUGGGGAGCGGAACGGCAUGGGAGGGCCGGCCGCAGCGGGUGACAGCCCCGUACGCGAACCCAGACCGGACGGCGCGACGCGGUCCCUGAGUAGGGCCGGGCACGUGAAACCCGGUCCGAACCUGGGUGGACCACCAUCCAAGCCUGAGUACUACCCUGUGACCGAUAGCGCACCAGUACCGUGAGGGAAAGGUGAAAAGCACCCCGGGAGGGGAGUGAAACAGUACCUGAAACCGUGCGCCCACGAGCAGUCGGAGCACCUUUAUGGUGUGACGGCGUGCCUUUUGUAGAAUGAGCCAGCGAGUCGCUGGCGCGGGGCGAGGUUAACCGAAAGGGAGCCGAAGCGAAAGCGAGCCUUAACAGGGCGACUUGAGUCCCGCGCCGCGGACGCGAAGCCGGGUGAGCUAUCCGUGGGCAGGCUGAAGCGGGGGUAAGACCCCGUGGAGGGCCGAACGCACGUCGGUUGAAAACGGCGGCGAUGACCUGCGGAUAGGGGUGAAAGGCCAAUCAAACCCGGAGAUAUCUCGUUCUCCCCGAAAUAGCUUUAGGGCUAGCGUCGCGCGUUCACCGCCGGAGGUAGAGCACCGGAUGGACGAGGGGGCUUCGCCGCCUACCGAAUCCAACCGAACUCCGAAUGCCGGCGGCCCAGAGCGCGGCAGUCAGAGCAUGUGGGCUAAGCUGUGUGCUCGAGAGGGAAACAGCCCGGACCGCCCGCUAAGGUCCCCAAGUUCCAGCCGAGUGGCAAAGGAUGUGCGUCCGCCCAGACAACCAGGAUGUUGGCUUAGAAGCAGCCAUACAUUCAAAGAGUGCGUAACAGCUCACUGGUCGAGUGGACAUGCGCCGACAAUACACGGGGCUAAGCUGGACACCGAAGCGGCGGGAUUUUAAUUCAUUAGAAUCGGUAGGGGAGCUUCCCAUGGGCGGAGAAGCCGGAGGGCGACCGACGGUGGAGCGCAUGGGAGUGAGAAUGCUGGCAUGAGUAGCGAGAGACGAGAGAGUAACUCGUCCGCCGUGAACCCGAGGUUUCCUGGGCAAGGCUAAUCCUCCCAGGGUCAGUCGGGGGCUAAGGCGAGGCCGGGAGGCGUAGCCGACGCGCAGCAGGCAGACAUUCCUGCACCGCGCACGCGGCGCUACGACCGACGGGGCGACGGAUGGGGGUGGCUCGGCGGGGUUCUGGACGUCCCCGUGAUGGAGCGCGGCCCGCGGACCAGGGAAAUCCGGUCCGCACGAGGGCGAGGCUCCGGACGAAGCGACUGAGCGAAGCGAGUGAGCCCGAGGUCCCUAGAAAAACCCCUAGGCAGGCGCGUGCGCGCCCGUACCGCAAACCGACACAGGUGGGUGGGUAGAACAUACCGAGGCGAUCGGGUCAACCAUGGUCAAGGAACUCGGCACAAUGGCCCCGUAACUUCGGGAGAAGGGGUGCCCGCGCGUACGUGAACGGACUUGCUCCGGGAGCGGAGGCGGGCCGCAGUGGAGAGGCCCAAGCGACUGUUUACCAAAAACACAGGUCUCUGCUAAAUCGAAAGAUGACGUAUAGGGGCUGACGCCUGCCCGGUGCCGGAAGGUUAAGAGGAGGAGUGAGAGCUCUGAAUUGAAGCCCCGGUAAACGGCGGCCGUAACUAUAACGGUCCUAAGGUAGCGAAAUUCCUUGUCAGGUAAGUUCUGACCCGCAUGAAAGGCGUAAUGAUUUGGGCACUGUCUCAACAGCCCGCCCGGCGAAAUUGUAGUACCGGUGAAGAUGCCGGUUACCCGCGACAAGACGGAAAGACCCCAUGGAGCUUUACUGUAGCCUAAUAUUGGGUUUCGAUGUUGCAUGCACAGGAUAGAUGGGACACUGGGAAGCAGGUGCUUUGGCGCUUGUGGAGUGGCCGUUGGGAUACCAUCCUUGCGAUAUUGGAAUUCUAACCUGCGCCUUUGAAUCAAGGCGGGGGACAUUGUUAGGUGGGCAGUUUGACUGGGGCGGUCGCCUCCUAAAGAGUAACGGAGGCGUUCAAAGGUUCGCUCAGCUUGAACGGAAAUCAAGCAAAAGAGUGCAAACGCAGAAGCGAGCCUAACUGCGAGACUGACGGGUCGAGCAGUAACGAAAGUUGGAGUUAGUGAUCCGGUGGUAUGUGAGUGGAAAUGCCAUCGCUCAACGGAUAAAAGCUACCCUGGGGAUAACAGGCUGAUCUCCCCCAAGAGU